ACAUAACAAAAAUAAUUAAGAAUCAAAAAAUUGUUAUCGUUAUCGUGAGACAUUGCAAUCAGAAUCGCCUCAAGAAUCUACAGAUUGUGAGAGGUUUUAUGAAAAAUGUGGUUAUGCAACAGUAAACAUCUGCAAUACCGAUAGUACAAUUAGUAGUAUUAGUACAAUGACCUUUUAUUUAUGUAUUAGUACCUAAUGGUGCUUCCAAAGUACGCCACAAGACAAAACUGAGUGCCGAUUUAUAAUCUACAGUUGAUAUACAAAUUACACGAACAUGAACAUCAUAGUGAAGAAGUUAGCCGAUGAAAUGUUAGCAAUGGACGUGACGACCCUAUGGUUUACUUGGUAUAGAGGCGAUGUCACCAGCGAUUCUACUAGAAAUGCUCAUAAUUGGGGUAGACUUGAGGGCCUAGUGCCCUUGCGAGCAUUUGGGUUAGCGGGCCGCUGCAUCCCCGACGAGAUGACCCGACCUGACCUACUUUUGAGGUACGCAAAUAGGCUAUAUGUUUAUUUCUUUCUGCGAUGCUUGCUAAUGGGGGUAUUGUAAUGUGUG
This is a long non-coding RNA of Cydia splendana, 553 nucleotides long. RefSeq lists it as uncharacterized. NCBI's taxonomy places the organism in Eukaryota, Metazoa, Arthropoda, Insecta, Lepidoptera, Tortricidae. The record is from RefSeq and is a predicted model, not a curated record. The transcript is spliced from 3 exons.